GAUGAACGUUGGCGGCGUGCCUAAUACAUGCAAGUCGAACGAAGACUGUAGUAAUACUGUCUUAGUGGCGAACGGGUGAGUAACGCGUGGGUGACCUGCCCCGAAGUGUGGGAUAACAGUCCGAAAGGAUUGCUAAUACUGCAUAAUAUCCAAGAGAUUAGAUGCUUUUGGAUUAAAGGAGUAAUUCGCUUCGGGAGGGGCCCGCGUCCCAUCAGCUAGUUGGUAAGGUAAUGGCUUACCAAGGCGAUGACGGGUAGGGGACCUGAGAGGGUGGCCCUCCACAAUGGAACUGAAACACGGUCCAUACACCUACGGGUGGCAGCAGUAGGGAAUAUUAGUAAUGGGCGAAAGCCUGAACUAGCAACGCCGCGUGUGCGAAGAAGGCCUUCGGGUCGUAAAGCACCUUUUGAGAGGAUGAGGAAGGACGGUACUCUCAGAAUAAGUCUCGGCUAACUACGUG
This 460-nucleotide ribosomal RNA is filed under the name uncultured bacterium. RNAcentral's name for it is "bacterial SSU rRNA". It matches the Rfam family "Bacterial small subunit ribosomal RNA", at positions 28 to 507 of the family's 1533-position model. The record is from RNAcentral.